UCAAACUUGGUCAUUUAGAGGAAGUAAAAGUCGUAACAAGGUUUCCGUAGGUGAACCUGCGGAAGGAUCAUUACUGAGUUUAGGGUCUCUUUUAGAGCCCGAAUCUCCAACCCUUUGUUAAAAACACUUUGUUGCUUUGGCAGGCCCGUCUUAUCCUUUCACCGGGAGACGACCGCCGGGGGCGUUUAGUCACCUCUGGUCCGUGCUUGCCGAUAGCCUAUUAAAAAUUCUUUAUUAAAUUAUGUCUGAAAAAUUAUAACUAAAUAUAAUUAAAACUUUUAACAACGGAUCUCUUGGUUCUGGCAUCGAUGAAGAACGCAGC
Molecule: unclassified non-coding RNA, 322 nt
Filed under: uncultured fungus
Lineage: Eukaryota; Fungi
Description: partial contains small subunit ribosomal RNA, internal transcribed spacer 1, and 5.8S ribosomal RNA
Rfam family: Eukaryotic small subunit ribosomal RNA (bases 1-73)
Source: RNAcentral